GCCUUGGUGGUGUUGUGGUCAGCACGCUUGACGCGUAACCAAGAGGCCCGUGGUUCGAUUCCCGGCGAAGGCG
Non-coding RNA from Stegodyphus mimosarum, 73 nucleotides. The record is from Rfam. Lineage: Eukaryota; Metazoa; Arthropoda; Arachnida; Araneae; Eresidae.